UGGGGAAUAUUGCACAAUGGGCGCAAGCCUGAUGCAGCCAUGCCGCGUGUAUGAAGAAGGCCUUCGGGUUGUAAAGUACUUUCAGCGGGGAGGAAGGGAGUAAAGUUAAUACCUUUGCUCAUUGACGUUACCCGCAGAAGAAGCACCGGCUAACUCCGUGCCAGCAGCCGCGGUAAUACGGAGGGUGCAAGCGUUAAUCGGAAUUACUGGGCGUAAAGCGCACGCAGGCGGUUUGUUAAGUCAGAUGUGAAAUCCCCGGGCUCAACCUGGGAACUGCAUCUGAUACUGGCAAGCUUGAGUCUCGUAGAGGGGGGUAGAGUUCCAGGUGUAGCGGUGAAAUGCGUAGAGAUCUGGAGGAAUACCGGUGGCGAAGGCGGCCCCCUGGACGAAGACUGACGCUCAGGUGCGAAAGCGUGGGGAGCAAACAGG
RNAcentral lists this ribosomal RNA (429 nucleotides) under Chloroflexota bacterium. RNAcentral's name for it is "Chloroflexi bacterium partial 16S ribosomal RNA". It matches the Rfam family "Bacterial small subunit ribosomal RNA", at positions 355 to 776 of the family's 1533-position model. Lineage: Bacteria; Bacillati; Chloroflexota. The record is from RNAcentral.